AAGAGGCCCAGCCUGCCCAGUGACUUAGUUCAACGGCCGCGGUAUCCUAACCGUGCGAAGGUAGCGUAAUCACUUGUUCUUUAAAUGAGGACUCGUAUGAAUGGCACCACGAGGGUUACACUGUCUCCUUUCUCUAAUCAAUGAAACUGAUCUCCCCGUGAAGAAGCGGGGAUACACAUAUUAGACGAGAAGACCCUAUGGAGCUUCAAACUAUACAGCACUGGCUUUUAUCUUUUUUCCACUUCAGAGUUUUUAAUUUUAUUCUAGCCUUUUGACUAUUAGUUUUAGGUUGGGGUGACCACGGAGCAAAAAUUAACCUCCACGAUGAACAGACCAACUCUUGAGCUAAAAGCCACAACUUUAAGCACCAAUAAACUGACACAAAUUGACCCA
RNAcentral lists this ribosomal RNA (393 nucleotides) under Dendropsophus leucophyllatus (Bereis' treefrog). Its description in RNAcentral is "partial 16S ribosomal RNA". It matches the Rfam family "Bacterial large subunit ribosomal RNA", at positions 1847 to 2422 of the family's 2925-position model. The record is from RNAcentral. Lineage: Eukaryota; Metazoa; Chordata; Amphibia; Anura; Hylidae.